UGCCAGCCGCCGCGGUAACACGGGGGGCGCAAGCGUUAUUCGGAAUUAUUGGGCGUAAAGGGCGCGCAGGCGGUCUUGUCCGUCAGGUGUGAAAGCCCGGGGCUCAACCCCGGAACUGCAUUCGAAACUGUCAGGCUUGAAUACGGGAGAGGGAAGCGGAAUUCCUGGUGUAGAGGUGAAAUUCGUAGAUACCAGGAGGAACACCAGUGGCGAAAGCGGCUUCCUGGCCCGAUAUUGACGCUCAUGUACGAAAGCGUGGGGAGCAAACAGGAUUAGAUA
Molecule: ribosomal RNA, 279 nt
Filed under: uncultured bacterium
Lineage: Bacteria
Description: partial 16S ribosomal RNA
Rfam family: Bacterial small subunit ribosomal RNA
Source: RNAcentral